UGCAGUCGAACGAUGAACCAGGAGCUUGCUCUUGGGGAUUAGUGGCGAACGGGUGAGUAACACGUGAGUAACCUGCCCUUGACUCUGGGAUAAGCGUUGGAAACGACGUCUAAUACCGGAUACGAGCUUCCACCGCAUGGUGAGUUGCUGGAAAGAAUUUUGGUCAAGGAUGGACUCGCGGCCUAUCAGCUUGUUGGUGAGGUAACGGCUCACCAAGGCGACGACGGGUAGCCGGCCUGAGAGGGUGACCGGCCACACUGGGACUGAGACACGGCCCAGACUCCUACGGGAGGCAGCAGUGGGGAAUAUUGCACAAUGGGCGAAAGCCUGAUGCAGCAACGCCGCGUGAGGGACGACGGCCUUCGGGUUGUAAACCUCUUUUAGCAGGGAAGAAGCGAAAGUGACGGUACCUGCAGAAAAAGCACCGGCUAACUACGUGCCAGCAGCCGCGGUAAUACGUAGGGUGCAAGCGUUGUCCGGAAUUAUUGGGCGUAAAGAGCUCGUAGGCGGUUUGUCGCGUCUGCUGUGAAAUCCCGAGGCUCAACCUCGGGUCUGCAGUGGGUACGGGCAGACUAGAGUGCGGUAGGGGAGAUUGGAAUUCCUGGUGUAGCGGUGGAAUGCGCAGAUAUCAGGAGGAACACCGAUGGCGAAGGCAGAUCUCUGGGCCGCUACUGACGCUGAGGAGCGAAAGGGUGGGGAGCAAACAGGCUUAGAUACCCUGGUAGUCCACCCCGUAAACGUUGGGCGCUAGAUGUGGGGACCAUUCCACGGUUUCCGUGUCGUAGCUAACGCAUUAAGCG
RNAcentral lists this ribosomal RNA (800 nucleotides) under Microbacteriaceae bacterium ACEMC 25-5. Its description in RNAcentral is "bacterial SSU rRNA". It matches the Rfam family "Bacterial small subunit ribosomal RNA", at positions 56 to 866 of the family's 1533-position model. Lineage: Bacteria; Bacillati; Actinomycetota; Actinomycetes; Micrococcales; Microbacteriaceae. The record is from RNAcentral.